CAGCAGCCACGGUAAUACGUAGGUGGCGAGCGUUGUCCGGAAUUAUUGGGCGUAAAGGGAGCGCAGGCGGACAUAUAAGUCCAUCUUAAAAGUGCGGGGCUCAACCCCGUGAGGGGAUGGAAACUGUAUGCCUUGAGUGCAGGAGAGGAAAGCGGAAUUCCCAGUGCAGCGGUGAAAUGCGUAGAUAUUGGGAGGAACACCAGUGGCGAAGGCGGCUUUCUGGACUGUAACUGACGCUGAGGCUCGAAAGCCAGGGGAGCGAACGGGAUUAGAUACCCCCGUAGUCCCUGUCUCUUAUACA
Molecule: ribosomal RNA, 301 nt
Filed under: uncultured bacterium
Lineage: Bacteria
Description: partial 16S ribosomal RNA
Rfam family: Bacterial small subunit ribosomal RNA
Source: RNAcentral